UCCCUGGUGGUCCAGUGGCUAAGACUCCGCACUCCCAAUGCAGGGGCCCGGGUUCGAUCCCUGGCCAGGGAA
Molecule: non-coding RNA, 72 nt
Organism: Lipotes vexillifer (Yangtze River dolphin)
Lineage: Eukaryota; Metazoa; Chordata; Mammalia; Artiodactyla; Lipotidae
Source: the annotation of a RefSeq genome assembly